RNAcentral lists this ribosomal RNA (729 nucleotides) under uncultured bacterium. RNAcentral describes it as "bacterial SSU rRNA". It matches the Rfam family "Bacterial small subunit ribosomal RNA", at positions 136 to 851 of the family's 1533-position model. The record is from RNAcentral.
GACUGGGAUAACACCUGGAAACAGAUGCUAAUACCGGAUAACAACACUAGACGCAUGUCUAGAGUUUGAAAGAUGGUUCUGCUAUCACUCUUGGAUGGACCUGCGGUGCAUUAGCUAGUUGGUAAGGUAACGGCUUACCAAGGCAAUGAUGCAUAGCCGAGUUGAGAGACUGAUCGGCCACAUUGGGACUGAGACACGGCCCAAACUCCUACGGGAGGCAGCAGUAGGGAAUCUUCCACAAUGGACGAAAGUCUGAUGGAGCAACGCCGCGUGAGUGAAGAAGGGUUUCGGCUCGUAAAGCUCUGUUGGUAGUGAAGAAAGAUAGAGGUAGUAACUGGCCUUUAUUUGACGGUAAUUACUUAGAAAGUCACGGCUAACUACGUGCCAGCAGCCGCGGUAAUACGUAGGUGGCAAGCGUUGUCCGGAUUUAUUGGGCGUAAAGCGAGUGCAGGCGGUUCAAUAAGUCUGAUGUGAAUGCCUUCGGCUCAACCGGAGAAUUGCAUCAGAAACUGUUGAACUUGAGUGCAGAAGAGGAGAGUGGAACUCCAUGUGUAGCGGUGGAAUGCGUAGAUAUAUGGAAGAACACCAGUGGCGAAGGCGGCUCUCUGGUCUGCAACUGACGCUGAGGCUCGAAAGCAUGGGUAGCGAACAGGAUUAGAUACCCUGGUAGUCCAUGCCGUAAACGAUGAGUAUAGAGUGUUGGGAGGUUUCCGCCUCUCAGUGCUGCAG